GUUAUAUGGUCAAGCGAAUAAGCGCACACGGUGGAUGCCUUGGCGGUCAGAGGCGAUGAAGGACGUGGCAGCCUGCGAAAAGUAUCGGGGAGCUGGCAACAAGCUUUGAUCCGGUAAUGUCCGAAUGGGGAAACCCACCCGCUUGCGGGUAUCCUGCAGUGAAUACAUAGCUGCUGGAAGCGAACCUGGUGAACUGAAAUAUCUAAGUAACCAGAGGAAAAGAAAUCAACCGAGAUUCCGUAAGUAGCGACGAGCGAACGCGGACUAGCCCUUAAGCUGGAUUGGUUCUAGGAAAACGCUCUGGAAAGAGCGGCCAUAGAAGGUGAUAGCCCUGUAUCUGAAAGGGCCAUUCCAGUGAAGACGAGUAGGGCGGGGCACGUGAAACCCUGUCUGAACAUGGGGGGACCAUCCUCCAAGGCUAAAUACUACUGACCGACCGAUAGUGAACCAGUACCGUGAGGGAAAGGCGAAAAGAACCCCGGAGAGGGGAGUGAAAUAGAACCUGAAACCGUGUGCGUACAAGCAGUAGGAGCUCCGCAAGGAGUGACUGCGUACCUUUUGUAUAAUGGGUCAGCGACUUACUGUUCGUGGCAAGCUUAACCGUAUAGGGGAGGCGAAGGGAAACCGAGUCUGAUAAGGGCGCAUAGUCGCGGGCAGUAGACCCGAAACCGG
Molecule: ribosomal RNA, 672 nt
Filed under: Stenotrophomonas sp. KAs 5-3
Lineage: Bacteria; Pseudomonadati; Pseudomonadota; Gammaproteobacteria; Lysobacterales; Lysobacteraceae
Description: bacterial LSU rRNA
Rfam family: Bacterial large subunit ribosomal RNA
Source: RNAcentral